GGGAGGUUUGAGGAGGGUGUUUGACAUGGCCAUCUGCAGAGUGUUGCGAGGACCUCCUCAAGGAAUGUUGCUCAGUGCCAGGCCAACCACCACGCCUGGCAUCACUUCUGAAGGGGAACGCUCCUGUCUACCACCUCAGCAGCAUGCGGGGCGCCCUGGCUGGACUGGGGCGGCCUGGACCCAACAGCAACCAACCCACUGGCCUGCCAGCAGCAUAUAAGCGAGCCCUCGUGUGUCCUGUGCCAAUUGCAGCUGAAGACGCUUCCCUGCCAGAUCACCUUUUGCCUGAUUCCUGGUGUUUAUCCUGUCCAGGUGGGGCACUCUGACCCAGAGACCAGACAGACCCGCAGAGGUGAGAUCGACUAGGAAAGGCCCAAUGGGCUGCGUGUCCCGUGAAGGUCGGCAGACCGCCAGUGUCACAGUGGCCAACAGCAAAGAUCAAAAUCAGCCGUGAGUGCGGCCCGGGAUUCACAGGUCACCUGAGUCCUCCACCUUCGCUCUUUCCUUAUCAUAGAUCUACUGCACUAUUGCUCUCUGAACAUUUGUCUUUUAAAAAUUCACUUUUUAACUCAAUUAAAUAAAACUUUAUAUCAUUAUAGUAAAUGAAAAAUGAG
Long non-coding RNA from Lemur catta (Ring-tailed lemur), 614 nucleotides. RefSeq lists it as uncharacterized. The record is from RefSeq and is a predicted model, not a curated record. Lineage: Eukaryota; Metazoa; Chordata; Mammalia; Primates; Lemuridae. The transcript is spliced from 3 exons.